AACUGUCCCAAGAGCUACUUUCAUAUUCUUUUUUAGCCCAUUUCUGUUUCAAACAUCUAACUCAUUUGAAAGACUUUUCUCAGAAUAGGGAAGAACUGUUUCCAUAGUUACCACAAUGCAGUGCACUAGUAGUAAUUACAAAAAUAGCAGAAGUUGGGUAUGAAAAUGAUUAUAAUGAUUUAUUUUCUUUUGAUUCAGAAAAUCCAGAUUCAACCCAUGAAAGUCUUGACUAUGAUGAUGUGCAGAACAAUCUGACCUAUGCCACUGUUGACCAUUUAAGACAUAGAAAUGAUGAGGAGAUAAAGCAGAGAAAAGUCUCUCAGUGUUCAGCAGCUAACAGAAGGACAAGAGAUGUUGGGUCUGGUUCUGGUUCUGAUCGUUGUGCUUCAGUUUGAAGAAGAGAUACAAGCACAAAC
Long non-coding RNA from Girardinichthys multiradiatus, 416 nucleotides. RefSeq lists it as uncharacterized. The record is from RefSeq and is a predicted model, not a curated record. Lineage: Eukaryota; Metazoa; Chordata; Actinopteri; Cyprinodontiformes; Goodeidae. The transcript has 4 exons.